Molecule: ribosomal RNA, 1290 nt
Filed under: Tetraclita squamosa
Lineage: Eukaryota; Metazoa; Arthropoda; Thecostraca; Balanomorpha; Tetraclitidae
Description: SSU rRNA
Rfam family: Eukaryotic small subunit ribosomal RNA
Source: RNAcentral
CCCAGUUCAGGGAGGUAGUGACAAUAAAUACCUUACAGAGGUCUCGUUAACCGAGAUCUCUCAAACGGAAUGAGUACAACGUGAAUCCUUUAACGAGGAUCGACUGGAGGGCAAGCCUGGUGCCAGCAGCCGCGGUAAUUCCAGCUCCAGUAGCGUAUAUUAAAGCUGUUGCGGUUAAAAAGCUCGUAGUUGGAUAUCAGUGCGUGUCCGGUCCGGUAUGCCUGGCGGCGUCGCUCGCGCGGCACUGCUGGGCUCCCAAAUAUCGGCUGGCCGCAUUCAAUCGUGCCGGAUCCGUCGACGGGCCGUUCUUCGGAGGGGCCUGUUGGCGACCGGCGACGUUACCUUGAACAAAUUAGAGUGCUCAAAGCAGGCUCUGAAUGCCUGUAUACAUAUUCAUGGAAUUGGAGAAUACGUCCCUGGCUCGAUUUGGUUGGUUUUGAGAGUCGAAGGGAAAUGAUUAAUAGGGACUGACGGAGGCAUUCGUAUUGCGACGCGAGGGGUGAAAUCCUGUGACCGUCGCACGACGAACUACUGCGAAAGCAUUUGCCGAGAAUGUUUUCAUUAGUCAAGAACGAAAGUUAGAGGUUCGAAGGCGAUCAGAUACCGCCCUAGUUCUAACCGUAAACGAUGUCGACCAGCAAUCCGCAACGGUCACUACACGGACUGUGCGGGCAGCUUCCCCGGGGAAACCAGAGUUUUUGGACUCCGGGGGAAGUAUGGUUGCAAAGCUGAAACUUAAAGGAAUUGACGGAAGGGCACCACCAGGAGUGGAGCUUGCGGCUUAAUUUGACUCAACACGGGACAACUCACCAGGCCCGGACACCGUAAGGAUUGACAGACUGAUAGCUCUCUCUUGAUUCAGUGGGUGGUGGUGCAUGGCCGUUCUUAGUUGGUGGAGUGAUUUGUCUGGUUUAUUCCGAUAACGAACGAGACUCUGGCCUAUUAAACUUGACGCUGCCAGUCUCUUGUGACUGCGGCGCGCUUCUUAGAGGGAUCAUCGGCGUCCCAGCCGAAGGAAAGGGAGCAAUAACAGGUCUGUGAUGCCCUUAGAUGUUCUGGGCUGCACGCGUGUUACACUGAAGUGGUCAGCGCGCCGUUCAACGUCCCUCUCCGUGAGGAGCGGGCAAACGUUUGAACCCUUUUCGUGAUGGGAAUUGGGGGUUGCAAUUGUCCCCCAUGAACGAGGAAUUCCAAGUAAGCGCAAGUCACUAGCUUGCGUUGAUUAAGUCCCUGCCCUUUGUACACACCGCCCGUCGCUACUACCGAUGGAUGAUUUGGUGAGGUCGCCUA